RNAcentral lists this ribosomal RNA (464 nucleotides) under uncultured bacterium. RNAcentral describes it as "partial 16S ribosomal RNA". It matches the Rfam family "Bacterial small subunit ribosomal RNA", at positions 28 to 505 of the family's 1533-position model. The record is from RNAcentral.
GAUGAACGCUGGCGGCGUGCUUAACACAUGCAAGUCGAACGAUGAAGCCCAGCUUGCUGGGUGGAUUAGUGGCGAACGGGUGAGUAACACGUGAGUAACCUGCCCUUAACUCUGGGAUAAGCCUGGGAAACUGGGUCUAAUACCGGAUAGGAGCGUCCACCGCAUGGUGGGUGUUGGAAAGGUUUAUCGGUUUUGGAUGGACUCGCGGCCUAUCAGCUUGUUGGUGAGGUAAUGGCUCACCAAGGCGACGACGGGUAGCCGGCCUGAGAGGGUGACCGGCCACACUGGGACUGAGACACGGCCCAGACUCCUACGGGAGGCAGCAGUGGGGAAUAUUGCACAAUGGGCGCAAGCCUGAUGCAGCGACGCCGCGUGAGGGAUGACGGCCUUCGGGGUGUAAACCUCUUUCAGUAGGGAAGAAGCGAAAGUGACGGUACCUGCAGAAGAAGCACCGGCUAACUACG